GCGGGGGUAGCCAAGUCUGGUCAAAGGCGGCGGGCUUAAGACCCGCUCCCGAAGGGGUUCGUGGGUUCGAAUCCCACCCCCCGCA
This 85-nucleotide transfer RNA is filed under the name Candidatus Caldarchaeum subterraneum. RNAcentral describes it as "tRNA-Leu (TAA) (tRNA-Leu-TAA-1-1)". It matches the Rfam family "tRNA". From Rfam's summary of the family: Transfer RNA (tRNA) molecules are approximately 80 nucleotides in length. Their secondary structure includes four short double-helical elements and three loops (D, anti-codon, and T loops). Further hydrogen bonds mediate the characteristic L-shaped molecular structure. tRNAs have two regions of fundamental functional importance: the anti-codon, which is responsible for specific mRNA codon recognition, and the 3' end, to which the tRNAs corresponding amino acid is attached (by aminoacyl-tRNA synthetases). tRNAs cope with the degeneracy of the genetic code in two manners: having more than one tRNA (with a specific anti-codon) for a particular amino acid; and 'wobble' base-pairing, i.e. permitting non-standard base-pairing at the 3rd anti-codon position. The record is from RNAcentral. RNAcentral also lists the same sequence under 2 other names. Lineage: Archaea; Thermoproteati; Nitrososphaerota; Candidatus Caldarchaeales; Candidatus Caldarchaeaceae.